This 224-nucleotide ribosomal RNA is filed under the name uncultured bacterium. Its description in RNAcentral is "partial 16S ribosomal RNA". It matches the Rfam family "Bacterial small subunit ribosomal RNA", at positions 15 to 236 of the family's 1533-position model. The record is from RNAcentral.
GAUCAUGGCUCAGGAUGAACGCUGGCGGCGCGCCUAACACAUGCAAGUCGAACGGACGAUGAAGAGCUUGCCUUUCAAAGUUAGUGGCGGACGGGUGAGUAACGCGUGGGUAACCUGCCUCAUACAGGGGAAUAGCAGCUGGAAACGGCUGAUAAAACCGCAUAAGCGCACAGUGCCGCAUGGCACAGUGUGAAAAACUCCGGUGGUAUGAGAUGGACCCGCGU